RNAcentral lists this long non-coding RNA (2055 nucleotides) under Anas platyrhynchos platyrhynchos (common mallard). Its description in RNAcentral is "lncRNA (ENSAPLG00000023820.1)". The record is from RNAcentral. Lineage: Eukaryota; Metazoa; Chordata; Aves; Anseriformes; Anatidae.
GGGCAGUGAGGGCAGAGAGGCGGGAACGUGGCCCACACAGCCCUGUGGACCCUGACGAGGACGUGGGCAAUGAAAUACGGUCCUUCGUGUCCACUGUCAUAACAAAAGCUCUAGCCUGCAAUGAGGGAGCCAGCAGCAAGGCAAGGCUUUCUCCCUCAGGCAGAGGUCCCGGGACCAAAGGCCCCAGAACACCACCUCUCACCACAGCAGCGGACCAAAACUGGAGGAGUCGGCACUCAUCCAAAAGCAGCCUUGCAUCCCCUACCGAAGAAAUGGAAGACGCAAUAAAGGCCUUUGUCUCCACUGCAAUAAGAAAUGGCCUUGCCUGGAACCAGGGAGCCAUGAGGGAGGCAAGGCUUCCUCCCGUGGGCAGACCUCCCACGAGCAAAGGACACAAAACACCACCUCAGCCCGCAAGUGGGCCCCAGAAUUUAAAGAAGAGCUGGCACCAUGCCCCACACAGCCCUGCAGACUCUUGCACGGCACUGCGGGACACAGCACACUCCCGCGUGUCUGAAGUGCUGGAGAAGACACAAAAAAACUGGGAACACGGCCAACGAUCAGCAGCACUUGGGGACCUGGCACAAACGGGGUGCAAAUUGAGAGCAACAAGUUCAGCCGGGGUCCAGACCGACCUGGAGAGGACGUGGACGACUUCUCUGCCAGGGCCUGAUUCCCGGGUACGCGCAGGAGCAAGGGCUUCCAGCAGAGACCCUGCAGCAGCUAGCCCAGGCCAGGGUAAGAAGCAAAAACAACAGAGAGAGAAACACGUCAAACCCAGGCAGGGGACAGGAAACGAGGGGACAAGCCAAGGCAAGGGCAGGAAGGAGAGCAGUCCUGGGGGAUGGGAUGAAGAGGAGGAGAUCGUCAUCAUCAACUCCUGGAUCAACCCCAGGUUCGCCAGCCUCUUAACAGACCCACAGGACGUUCCCCAGGAAGAGGGCAGCGCAGCCAGCAGUGUGGACAGGGAGGCAGCAGAAGAAGCAAAACACCCAGCAAGCGCCUCUCCUGGCUCGCUGCAAACCACGGACACUGCCCCAUCAGCUGCUCCCCAGGAAGAAAUUCCUGGGGAAGAGAGGCACAGCACGCCUCUCACUUCAACAACAGCAGCCCAGAGCAGGCCAGCAAGUCCUCCAGCAGCCCCUGCUCUGGAAGAUGAGGGACACAGGACGCCUCCCCUGACACGUGGGGCUCCACAGUCAAAACCAUCAGCCUUUCCAAGCCCCAGUGAGCACAGCACUGAGGUGAUGGUUGAGAGCCAGGGACGUGCCCGACAUGCCUCCAGUGCCUGUGAUGAAGAGCUGGAUGAAGGAGUCAAGACCGACCUUUCCACAGUCCUACGCUGUGCUGUAGCCAUGAGCCAGGGAGCCGUGAGCAAGGCACCAAGUGCUCCCUCGGCCACAGGACCCAGCGUGCCUCCUCCCACAGCAGAGCCUGCAGAAUCUACAUCCUCAGCAUCUGCCUUGGCUGGAGCACUGGGGGACCUGGCACACACGGGAAGCACAGGGAGAGCAACGAGAUCAGCCGGGGUCCAGACAGACGUGGAGAGGAGGCGGACCACUGCUCUGCCAGGGCCUGAUUCCCGGGUAUGCGCAGGAGCAAGGGCUUCCAGCAGAGACCUUGCAGCAGCUAGCCCAGGCCAGGGUAAGAAGAAAAUACAACAGAGAGAGAAACACGUCAAACCCAGGCAGGGGACAGGCAACGAGGGGACAAGCCAAGGCCGGGGCAGGAAAGAGAGCAGUCCUGGGGGAUGGGAUGAAGAGGAGGGGAUCGUCAUCUUCAACUCCUGGAUCAACCCCAGGUUCGCCAGCAUCUUCACAGACCCACAGGACGUUCCCCAGGAAGAGGGCAGCGCAGCCAGCAGUGUGGACAGGGAGGCUGCAGCACAAGAAGCAGAACACCCAGCAAGCGCCUCUCCUGGCUCGCUGCAAACCACGGACACUGCCCCAUCAGCUGCUCCCCUGGAAGAAGGUCCACGGGAAGAGAGGCACAGUACGCCUCUCACAACAGCACUGGCACAGAGCAGGCCAGCAAGUCCUCCAGCAGCCCCUGCUC